CACGCACAGACAUGCUAACUGUCCAGAUUAUGGACUGGAAUAAGAGAAAGAUGGAGAACAUGUGUAAAACCUUGUGCACAAUAUUUCGUAAGGUAACCGUCUUCUUUCAGAAAAGCGGCCAAAUUGCAGUAUGAGUGACAAAUGUCACUCUUAAAGUUUAAUUUCCCCCAUCCCUCCUAUUCCUACAGACACAGCAGAAUCUUGAGAGGGAGAGGCAGAGCCUAGAGACCCUCAAAGGAGAGAUGUCUGCAAAUGAUGGGACUGUGGAACAGUGGGUCAGAGAUGUCAAGGACUGGGCUGAACAUGAACCCCCUGCAGCCAGUAAUGAUUCUCUGCUACAAGUGAGAUCAAGAAUUGAGGAGACUUCUCUGGGCCUAAGGCAGCGUAGGGCACGGCUUUAUAGCCAAACAGGUACAAAGUUUGUGAAAGACAUCAAAUGGUUUAACAAUGUUUUUCACAUUUGUUUAUUAGGUUUCUUCAUGUAUCGGAUUGUGUCUUAUCUGAUGUCUCCCAGACAGCAACUCAGGAUGCUCUGUGAUCCGCAACCGCAUGUGGAGGGAACAGAAACCGCUUGAGAUUUAUGUGGCUCAGCAUGAUACAAUGGUCCAACCCCAAGAGCAAAUCGGCCCUGUCAGUAACACAGUACAAGCUGGCUACAUAUUUCCUUGGCAGUUACCCCCCAAUGAUGGUGUGGAUUUCCUUGCCAAAAAAAAGAUUUUUGAUAAGGUCAUGCACAUAAGAAGACUUGAGGAGGAGGUGAUGAUCCUUGCCACAGAAGUAAGGCAACACUGGGAGUUCCUCAAGAGAAGGGAGCAGACAUUGAGUGGUCUAUCCAUCAGCACUGAGGGUAGCCACUGCAGCCUCUCUGAAGAAGGACUUCGAGGUCUUCAGGCAGAGUUCAACAGAAGAAGGUCUCAGCUGCAGUCUCACCUUAUCACUGUGAGAAAUAAAUACUUGCAAGUGGUAAGGGCAGGACUUGAUGGGUCUGCACUGGACCUUGAAGAGGGAGAAGAGCAGUUUGAGGAGCAAGAUGUAGCAAGUGAUGUGGAGAGCUACUCAGAUGAGGAGGACAUGGACAUGCAGGGACUGGACAAUGCAGUUGGGGAAUAGAAUCCACGUUUUGGUUUGCUGGUUCAAUACCAACACCCUGUAUAUCCCACUCGGGGAUCGACCAUAACUCUGUUCACUUGAAUUCUUACUGUAGACCCUGAACGUACUUUAGACCCCAUGACAUGUCUAUGAAGGUUCAUGGUACUUUGACCCUGUUUUGAAGGCUCUUUUCUAAGAAUAGGCAAUAAACUGUUUGUCACAAGAGAAUUACCAAUCAUGUUAACUACGCCUAGCUGGCAGUGAAGUUUAAAGUGCUUGCAUUUUUCGUGAAGGUUCCUCACCAAAGCAUGUCUGUAUGGCUUUAUCUCUUCACAGCUGAGAUUUCUGAACUGAAGAAAGAUUCAUAUUGUUUGAAAUGUUUGCUCUGUUUACGGCACACAAACUUUGUAGCAUAUGCUACAAAGUCCUCAGUUUUAUUGUAUAGGUUCUACAAGGAAGUCAGUGCAUUCAGUGGAUUGUCUGAGUCAUUUGGUUUUGCAAAUGCACUGUGGCAACAAUACAUUAAAGAAUGCCUGAAUACUUGAAAACAAGCACUUGGAACACACAUUUUGACCAGAUGUACAGUAUGUAAUAUGUAUC
This is a long non-coding RNA of Sparus aurata (gilthead seabream), 1689 nucleotides long. NCBI's taxonomy places the organism in Eukaryota, Metazoa, Chordata, Actinopteri, Spariformes, Sparidae. The record is from Ensembl.